Molecule: small nucleolar RNA, 65 nt
Organism: Nannospalax galili (Upper Galilee mountains blind mole rat)
Lineage: Eukaryota; Metazoa; Chordata; Mammalia; Rodentia; Spalacidae
Product: small nucleolar RNA SNORD101
Exons: 1
Source: RefSeq, a predicted model, not a curated record
GUAUAAUGACUCAAAUUGUUGGAUAUCCCUUUCCUCCGUUCAUGGAUAAAACACAAUAGUCUGAC